This 590-nucleotide ribosomal RNA is filed under the name Diversispora spurca. RNAcentral's name for it is "LSU rRNA". It matches the Rfam family "Eukaryotic large subunit ribosomal RNA", at positions 76 to 640 of the family's 3401-position model. Lineage: Eukaryota; Fungi; Glomeromycota; Glomeromycetes; Diversisporales; Diversisporaceae. The record is from RNAcentral.
UCCCCUAGUAACGGCGAGUGAAGAGGGAAAAGCUCAAAUUUUAAAUCUAUCUGGUUUUUCCCAGGUCGAGUUGUAAUUUGAAGAAGCGAUAUCGGUGUUGAGGUCUGGUUUAAGUUCUUUGGAACAAGACAUCAUGGAGGGUGAGAAUCCCGUGCAUGAUCAGACCAAGAUACUAAGUAUAUGCUUUCCAAGAGUCGAGUUGUUUGGGAAUGCAGCUCAAAAUGGGUGGUAGACUUCACCUAAGGCUAAAUAUCAGCGAGAGACCGAUAGCGAACAAGUACUGUGAAGGAAAGAUGAAAAGAACUUUGAAAAGAGAGUUAAAUAGUACGUGAAAUUGUUGAAAGGGAAACGAUUGAAGUCAGUCAUGCCAGUGAAAACUCAGUUUGUCGGUAAUCUAGUUCAGGAGUAGAGGCAGGGUCAAACCGUCUCUCUUUUGGACGGGAUUAUUGGCAGAUGGAAUUUUUUUCUGGCAGGUCAGCGUCGGUUUCGGGGGUUGUAAAAUACUUGGGGUAAAGUAGCUCUGCUUCGGGAGAGUGUUAUAGACCUUUGGGGAUGCAGCCCGCGGGAUCGAGGAUUGCAGCAAAUGCCUU